GAUGAACGCUAGCGGCAGGCCUAACACAUGCAAGUCGAGGGGUAACAUAGAAAAGCUUGCUUUUCUGAUGACGACCGGCGCACGGGUGCGUAACGCGUAUACAACCUACCUUUUAGCGGGGAAUAGCCCAGGGAAACUUGGAUUAAUGCCCCAUAGUAUAUAGACUUCUCCUGAAGUUUAUAUUAAACAUUUAUGGCUAUUAGAUGGGUAUGCGUCCUAUUAGUUAGUUGGUAAGGUAACGGCUUACCAAGGCAGCGAUAGGUAGGGGUCCUGAGAGGGAGAUCCCCACACUGGUACUGAGACACGGACCAGACUCCUACGGGAGGCAGCAGUGAGGAAUAUUGGACAAUGGGCGAGAGCCUGAUCCAGCCAUGCCGCGUGCAGGAAGACUGCCCUAUGGGUUGUAAACUGCUUUUUACAGAGGAAGAACCACCCCCACGUGUGGGGGUUUGACGGUACUCUGCGAAUAAGGAUCGGCUAACUCCGUG
Molecule: ribosomal RNA, 488 nt
Filed under: uncultured bacterium
Lineage: Bacteria
Description: bacterial SSU rRNA
Rfam family: Bacterial small subunit ribosomal RNA
Source: RNAcentral